CACACCCACACUACUACCCCAGAGAUGCCAUUGAGAGCUGCAUUUGCCUUAAAUAGGACUGAAAAAGAAGGCAAGUGAAAACUGUUUCACAGCUCAAAUGAGAUGUGUGGAAUCUGUGUCAAUCUGCUCAAAAUUAAUUCCAGUUUGUCCCCUGAGACACUUGGGCCUUCCUCAGAAGCAACACACUCUUCCAGAGCUGACUGAGCUGUAGACAGCAAAUAAAGAGAAGAUGGAGAAGUGGACACGUCCCAGUUGACUUAUAUAUUAAAGGUCUGAGAGAGAUAGCCAGAGGAGGAAAGAAGGCACAAGACCAGAAAUCAGGUGAGACAUGCACAUAUAUGAGUAUUUGUCAAUUGUACUGGCUAGUUUCAUGUGUCAACUUGACACAGGCUGGAGUUAUCACAGAGAAAGGAGCUUCAGUUCGGGAAGUGCCUCCCUGAGAUCCAGCUGUGGGGCAUUUUCUCAAUUAGUGAUCAAGUGGUAAGGGCCCCUUGUGGGUGGUUCCACCUUUGGGCUGGUGCUCUUGGGUUCUAUAAGAGAGCAGGCUGAGCAAGCCAGGGGAAGCAAGCCAGUAAGAAACAUCCCUCCAUGGCCUCUGCAUCAGCUCCUGCUUCCUGACCUGCUUGAGUUCCAGUCCUGACUUCCUUUUGUGAUGAACUGCAACGUGCAAGUGUAAGCUCAAUAAACCCUUUCCUCCCCCAACUUGCUUCUUGGUCAUGAUGUUUGUGCAGGAAUAGAAACCCUAAGACAAAUUGGUACCAGCAUAGUGGGGUAUUCCUGUGACAACCUGACCAUGUUUUGGGGAGGAUUGUGGAAGGACUUUGGAACUUUGAGCUAGAAAAGCUGUGGAAAGUUCUGUAGGAGCUUGGAAGACAAUGUUACGAACAGUGCAGAAGAUGGAGGCCUGGCUUGUGAAAUUUCAGAGGGAAGAUUAAAAACUCUUACAGUGGCUAUGUUUUGAUUGUGAAGAUUCUGUGGUUUUGGUUAGCUGGGGGCUGAAGAAUCAGCUGUAAGUAACAAGAUACCAGAACCACUAAAGCAAACCCUUGUGUUACUGGGACUAUUGAUGCUGGUUAGCUGGAGCUAAGAAAUUAGCAGUGAUUAAGAAGAGACCAGCAUCACUGAGAUGAAAUCUUGGAAGUGUUUUCUGAGAGCACAGAGAGUGUAUUCCAGAGAUAGCCACAGUUGUAUUUUGUGCUGUGGCUGGACUUGGUACUGUGUAAGAGUCACCCAGAUGGUACUGGAUUUGAAGGCAUGAAGGGGUCAUGAAGAGCAGCUGAGGCUCUUGGCACAGUGAGAGGCCACGGAAGGCCAUUGGUGAAAGUGCAGCCUCAGUUGCAAUUGAUGGCCCAGGACUUGAAGAGGUCAUGCAUAGGAGCAGAGGCUUGUCACCAUGAAGAGAGCCUAUGAGAGGCUAUUGGUGAAGCCUAAUUACAGUGGAAGAUAGCAGUAUUUUGGAGAUGCUAGUACCAUACGAUGACCACCAAGAACAGCAGCAGCAGUGGAGUACAGGCAGCUGGAGCCUGGAAGACAAGCUGUGUGCUACAAAGGGCAGGACUGAAGGAGUGACCCAAGCCCUUGGAGGAGCCCAGAAGAUCGUGAGUUGGAUCCCAGACAUUGAACUAUUGGAGUUUGAGUUUUGCUUUUGGUUGUGACUGUGCCCUGAUAUGUUUCCCUCUUGAAGGAAGAAAGUAUUUUAGUGGAGCCCACAGUUGAGAGACUGAAUUUUUAAAAAACUUUGGAUUUUAAAGAUAUUGGAUAUUUUAAGGUGAUUGAACUUUUAAUAUGUAAAGACUGUGGGACUUUUAAAGUAAUUUAGAUCUUGGGGAUGAAUAAGAAAGUAAGGGUUGAGGCUUAAUAAUGAUGUGUUUGUGUGUCAAGUUGACAAGGGAUCAAUUGUACUGGCUGAUUUUGUGUGUCAACUUGACACAGGCUGGAGUUAUCACAGAGAAAGGAGUUUCAGUUGGGGAAGUGCCUCCAUGAGAUCCAACUGUGGGGCAUUUUCUCAAUUAGUGAUCAAGUGGUGAGGGCCCCUUGUGGGUGGUUCCACCUUUGGGCUGGUGCUCUUGGGUUUUAUAAGAGAGCAGGCUGAGCAAGCCAGGGGAAGCAAGCCAGUAAGAAACAUCCCUCCAUGGCCUCUGCAUCAGCUCCUGCUUCCUGACUUGCUUGAGUUCCAGUCCUGACUUCCUUUUGUGAUGAACUGCAACAUGCAAGUGUAAGCUCAAUAAACCCUUUCCUCCCCAACUUGCUUCUUGGUCAAGAUGUUUGUGCAGGAAUAGAAACCCUGACUAAGACAUAUGUAUAGCAUCUGGAGGUGGCAUCUGCAGGGGAGAUCUAAAGUCCUCCUGAUAUUUGUGUGGAAGAGGAUAAAGAUGAUAAUCAAAGAGGAAGAAUCUAAGAUGCAUGUUUUCUAUGUGAACACUGCAUAGUCUAUCCUAAUAGCUAUUGAAUUAAAUAUUUUAAAUGGUUAACUUGCACAUUGUCUGAAUUAUGUGCCCAUAAAGUCGGUUUUUAAAAAAGAGUAUUCCUUCCCCCAAAAAUAUACAUAUGCAUUUCCCUUAGAAGUUUGUUGUUAAGGCAAAAACAGCUCAAGAAGCCUGAAUGUUUUUAAGUCACCAAUGAAUGCUUUCCAAUUCAUUCUUGCACAAGAUUGCCAUGUGAGCCUUCUGUUAUGUUUUGGUAACAAAAAGUUAGGAAAUGACCCUUAAAAGUGUGUGUGUGCGUUAACAAAUACUAGGUUAGUGAAAGUGCCCAUAAGUCCAAAGUACUCCUUUCAAAAGUUGGGAAAUGGAACUUUCUUCGGAGCUCCCAUUGUUACAAAGCAGCAAGAAUGUGGAAGCUUGAUCUGAGGUCUUGGAAAUUCUCUUCCCCACCCACAUCCAACGCUUCCUGCGAUUGUUUGUAGAGAGCAGCGAUUUGAGGGUAAGCGUGUUUAGAACACAGUCAUGCUUAUGGUUGCAUCCAGCUCUUCUGGCCUUUGAAACAAAUCACACUGGCACGGAUCCAAUCAGUUGCACACCACCACCCAGCUAACAGCCGCAGCCAGGUAGCGCCAGCCGCCCAGGACUAACCUGGAGACUAAUCAGGGCCCACAGCUCACAAUUCUGCUCUUACACCCUCUGAAAGGACAACAGUGGAAUAACAAUAACUCCCCUUUCCUGAGCAUCAGCCUGGGCAGAGCUGUCCGGAGGCUACAGAAAUGUAAAGAGUUCAGACCUUAACUAGGAAUUCUUAAAUCGCUAGAUGUCAUCAACGUAAAUAACAGCCAUCUGUGACUCACAUCAGAAAUUUACAAAGUUAAUUAUGGGAUAUCAUUUCUGAUUCUCUCCCAGGAUGGUUCUGGCGCUGCUACGUGCUAGGCGAUGGUCUAGACAUUUUACAUAUGGCAACUCUUAAUGUUCGCAAUAUUCUAUUACGAGGGUAAUAAGCACCCCAUUCUGCAAAUUUAAAGAAACUGCAAACACGUAGGGAAAAGACACUGUCUGAUAUUAAAACAGUAUCUGGGAGUUCAAGAAGCUUUGAUUUGUAGCCAUUCCAGAGUUUCUCGGGAGCCCCAAAGCCAUUGCUGCUGCAUCCACCAUUUCCACCAUUUGUUCUGUACCCUUAUUUCCUGUGACACCCUAGGAGGGACUUGUAAGGCUGAACUCACCCCUGUGUGUUGGCCAGAGAGGGCAAUGCUGUGCCACAGGAUAACCUGGAUCUCAGUAGCCCAAUAUAAUAGAGUUUCUUCCUCACACAAAGUCAGCUGUGGAUGCUGGGAGUCCUUUGAGGCAGCUAAGAGCCCCCUGCUCCAAUCCUCCCAGGGCCCUCCUAACAAUCCCCCUCCAAGCUUCAUGGCUUUUUUGUUUUGUUUUGUUUUGUUUUGUUUUGUUUGAGACAGAGUCUUUCUAUGUAGUUUAUGGCUAUCCUGAAACUCUCUAUGUAGACUAGACUGGCCUAGAACUCAAAAAGAUCUUUCCGCAUCUGCCUCCCAAGUGCUGGGAUUAAAAAUGUAUCUGAGCCCACCUGGAGUAUUUCCUCUCCCCGUCCCCCA
This is a long non-coding RNA of Apodemus sylvaticus (European woodmouse), 4033 nucleotides long. RefSeq lists it as uncharacterized. The record is from RefSeq and is a predicted model, not a curated record. NCBI's taxonomy places the organism in Eukaryota, Metazoa, Chordata, Mammalia, Rodentia, Muridae. The transcript has 2 exons.